Molecule: ribosomal RNA, 136 nt
Filed under: uncultured bacterium
Lineage: Bacteria
Description: partial 16S ribosomal RNA
Rfam family: Bacterial small subunit ribosomal RNA
Source: RNAcentral
AUGGGCGCAAGCCUGACCGAGCAACGCCGCGUGGAGGAUGACGGCCUUCGGGUUGUAAACUCCUUUUCCAGGGGAUGAUGAUGACCGUACCCUGGGAAUCAGGCUCGGCUAACUCUGUGCCAGCAGCCGCGGUAAG